Non-coding RNA from Paramormyrops kingsleyae, 319 nucleotides. The record is from RefSeq and is a predicted model, not a curated record. NCBI's taxonomy places the organism in Eukaryota, Metazoa, Chordata, Actinopteri, Osteoglossiformes, Mormyridae.
AACCUUGUUUGCAAGUCAUGGGUCUCGCGGCUGUUUGAAAUCCGUGCAGCCGGACAGCCACAUGCCUCCGCGUCUUAAUGACAGCGUCCGUAACUAAACUGAAAUUACAUUUAGUCUUUUACCUUGUUGAUUUUUGUUUUGUCCUCCUGCGGACCAAGAGAAGCUGGGCUCCGGCACCCAUGCAGUCGCUCAGAAGACGGAAGACGGAAACGCGCACAAGCGCGCGCAACAAAAGUUUAAUAACUUCUAACAACUGAUUUGCAUUUUCAAAAGCUGACCCAGAAUAUGUGAUGUGACACAAAAUAAACAGAUAAACAGA